GCAUCUGUGGUUCAGUGGUAGAUAAUCGCCUGCCACGUGGCCGGCCCGGGUUCGAUUCCUGGCCGAUGCA
Molecule: non-coding RNA, 70 nt
Organism: Cordylochernes scorpioides
Lineage: Eukaryota; Metazoa; Arthropoda; Arachnida; Pseudoscorpiones; Chernetidae
Source: the annotation of a GenBank genome assembly